AACGAACGCUGGCGGCAGGCCUAACACAUGCAAGUCGAGCGAGGACUUCGGUCCUAGCGGCGGACGGGUGUGUCACGCGUGGGAACGUGCCCUUUGCUUCGGAAUAGCCCUGGGAAACUGGGAGUAAUACCGGAUGAGCUCUUUGGGGGCAAGAUUUAUCGGCGAAGGAUCGGCCCGCGUUGGAUUAGGUAGUUGGUGGGGUAAUGGCCUACCAAGCCGACGAUCCAUAGCUGGUUUGAGAGGAUGAUCAGCCACACUGGGACUGAGACACGGCCCAGAAUACUACGGGAGGCAGCAGUGGGGGAUCUUGGACAAUGGGGGAAGCGCUGAACUAGCCAUGCUGCGUGAGCGAUGAAGGCCGUAGGGUAGUAAAGCUCUUUCAGCUGGGAAGAUAAUGACGGUACCAGCAGAAGAAGCCCCGGCUAACUCCGUG
RNAcentral lists this ribosomal RNA (433 nucleotides) under uncultured bacterium. RNAcentral describes it as "partial 16S ribosomal RNA". It matches the Rfam family "Bacterial small subunit ribosomal RNA", at positions 29 to 507 of the family's 1533-position model. The record is from RNAcentral.